UAAACGACUCUCGGCAACGGAUAUCUCGGCUCUCGCAUCGAUGAAGAACGUAGCGAAAUGCGAUACUUGGUGUGAAUUGCAGAAUCCCGCGAACCAUCGAGUCUUUGAACGCAAGUUGCGCCCGAAGCCAUUAGGUUGAGGGCACGCCUGCCUGGGCGUCUCAC
This 164-nucleotide ribosomal RNA is filed under the name Camellia sinensis. RNAcentral describes it as "5.8S ribosomal RNA". It matches the Rfam family "5.8S ribosomal RNA". Rfam says of the family: 5.8S ribosomal RNA (5.8S rRNA) is a component of the large subunit of the eukaryotic ribosome. It is transcribed by RNA polymerase I as part of the 45S precursor that also contains 18S and 28S rRNA. RNAcentral also lists the same sequence under 10 other names. Lineage: Eukaryota; Viridiplantae; Streptophyta; Magnoliopsida; Ericales; Theaceae. The record is from RNAcentral.